UUGAAAGGGAAACGAUUGAAGUCAGUCGUACCGACGAGAAAUCAACUUAUCGUGUGCGAACUUGUGGGCGUGCGUGAGUUUCGGCCUCGCUGUUUGCAUGUUUGUGCGUUUUGGGUGUACUUUUUCGUAUGGUAGGCCAACGUCAGUUUCGAUUAUCAUAAAAUGACCGGCGGAAUGUAGCUUCGAUUUCGGUUGAAGUGUUAUAGCCUCUGGUAGAUGUGGUAAUUGAGACUGAGGAUUGCAACGAAUACCCUUUGGGCUAUCCGUCUGGCCUCUGAAAGUUGCUCAGGUGCCGAAAGCGUGCUUACGGUUAUCUAAGAUAACGUUCAACAGGUUAGAACGUGAUUGCAUUCGUUAAGGAUGUUGACGUA
This 371-nucleotide ribosomal RNA is filed under the name uncultured fungus. RNAcentral describes it as "LSU rRNA". Lineage: Eukaryota; Fungi. The record is from RNAcentral.